Laccaria bicolor S238N-H82 is the source of this 80-nucleotide transfer RNA. It matches the Rfam family "tRNA". Rfam says of the family: Transfer RNA (tRNA) molecules are approximately 80 nucleotides in length. Their secondary structure includes four short double-helical elements and three loops (D, anti-codon, and T loops). Further hydrogen bonds mediate the characteristic L-shaped molecular structure. tRNAs have two regions of fundamental functional importance: the anti-codon, which is responsible for specific mRNA codon recognition, and the 3' end, to which the tRNAs corresponding amino acid is attached (by aminoacyl-tRNA synthetases). tRNAs cope with the degeneracy of the genetic code in two manners: having more than one tRNA (with a specific anti-codon) for a particular amino acid; and 'wobble' base-pairing, i.e. permitting non-standard base-pairing at the 3rd anti-codon position. The record is from Rfam. Lineage: Eukaryota; Fungi; Basidiomycota; Agaricomycetes; Agaricales; Hydnangiaceae.
GGCGCUGUAGUGUAGCGGUUAUCACUCAAGAUUCUGACUCCUGAAUUCUUGGAACCCAGGUUCGAUUCCUGGCAGUGCCU